Molecule: transfer RNA, 70 nt
Filed under: Camelus bactrianus (Bactrian camel)
Lineage: Eukaryota; Metazoa; Chordata; Mammalia; Artiodactyla; Camelidae
Also listed under: 1 other name
Rfam family: tRNA
About the family: Transfer RNA (tRNA) molecules are approximately 80 nucleotides in length. Their secondary structure includes four short double-helical elements and three loops (D, anti-codon, and T loops).
Source: Rfam by way of RNAcentral
GAAGGCAUAGCUCAGUGAUAGAGUGUGCUUAGCAUGCAUGAGGUCCUGGGUUCAAUCCCCAGUAUCUCCA